This 1308-nucleotide long non-coding RNA is filed under the name Homo sapiens (human). RNAcentral's name for it is "HSALNT0162224". The record is from RNAcentral. Lineage: Eukaryota; Metazoa; Chordata; Mammalia; Primates; Hominidae.
AGUCUACAAGUCCUACACAUAUUUGUCAGAUUUAUCUCCAAGUAUUUCACAUUUUUUGAUGCGAUUGUAAAUGAGGGUUUUUUUUUUCACCGAGCUUUUUAACUGUAGAGUCAUGAUUCACAAGCAGUUGUAAGCAAUGAUACAGAGAGGCCCACUGUACCCUGUACCCAGUUUUCCCCAGUGUAACAUCUUGCAACACUGUAUGACCACAUCACAACCAGGGUGUUGACAUGGAUACAGUCAGGAUACAGAGUGCUCCGUCACCGCGGGAUCCCUCCCGCAGCGCUUUUACAGCCACAUCUGCUUAACCCCUGGCAACCACUAAUGUGCUCUCCAUUUCUAAAAUUUUGUUUCAAGAGUGUUACAUCAAUGGAAUCACACAAAGAUAGCUUUCUGAGAUUGUCUGUUUUCACUCAGCAGAAUGACCUGGAGAUCCAUCCGCAUUCUGAGACAACAGUUCCUUCCUUUUGACUACUGAGCAGCAUUUUGGGGCAUGGAUGUACCAUGCUGGUCUAACCUUUAACUAUCCAGCUAUUGAAGGACAACUAGGCUGUUUCCAGUCUUUCUGGGGAUGGUUUUAGCUCAGUCUUGAGCACUCUAUUCCCCUGUUCUCUCUCCUAUGCAGUUUUUCUCUUUGUUGUUGUUUUUUUGUUUUGUUUUGUUUUGUUUUUUGAAACAGAGUCUCGCUCUGUCGCCCAGACUGGAGUGCAGUGACGCCAUCUCAGCUCACUGAAACCUCAGCCCCUGGGGUUCAAGCAAUCCUCCUGCCUCAGCCACCCUAGUAGCUGGGAUUAUAGGCGGGCGCUACGACGCCUGACUAUUUUUUGUAUUUUUAGCAGAGACGGGGUUUCUCCAUGUUGUCGAGGCUAGUCUCCAACUCCUGACCUCAGGUGAUCCAUGCACCUCCCAUGCAGUUUUAUCCAGGCUCUGCCUUACUCGGUGACAAGGUUUGGGGCAGAAACUUCAGAAAGAGCUCCACUGACAGGGUCUUGGUCAGUUGCCCAGGCUGGAGUACAGUGGCACAAUCAUGGCUCACUGCAGCCUUGACCUCUUGGACUCAAGUGAUCCUCCCACCUCAGCCUCCUGCCUCAGCCACCUACGUUGCUAGGACUGCAAGCACAUGCCACCACACAAGGUUAAUUUUUUUAUUUUUUAUUUUUAUAAGGAUAGGGUCUCUCUAUGUUGCCUAGGCUGGUCUCAAACUCCUGGGCUCAAGCAAUCCUCCUGCCUUGGCCUCCCCAAGUGCUGGAAUUACAGGCGUAAGCCACUGUGCCCAGCUUAGAAGUUUCUAAUUUUAAAGACAGCCAG